Molecule: ribosomal RNA, 254 nt
Filed under: uncultured bacterium
Lineage: Bacteria
Description: partial 16S ribosomal RNA
Rfam family: Bacterial small subunit ribosomal RNA
Source: RNAcentral
UACGGAGGGGGCUAGCGUUGUUCGGAAUUACUGGGCGUAAAGCGCGCGUAGGCGGCCAACUAAGUCAGACGUGAAAUCCCUCGGCUUAACCGGGGAACUGCGUCUGAUACUGGAUGGCUUGAGUUUGGGAGAGGGAUGCGGAAUUCCAGGUGUAGCGGUGAAAUGCGUAGAUAUCUGGAGGAACACCGGUGGCGAAGGCGGCAUCCUGGACCAACACUGACGCUGAGUGAGCGAAAGCCAGGGGAGCAAACGGG